RNAcentral lists this ribosomal RNA (1041 nucleotides) under Salmonella enterica. RNAcentral's name for it is "partial 23S ribosomal RNA". It matches the Rfam family "Bacterial large subunit ribosomal RNA", at positions 1213 to 2236 of the family's 2925-position model. The record is from RNAcentral. Lineage: Bacteria; Pseudomonadati; Pseudomonadota; Gammaproteobacteria; Enterobacterales; Enterobacteriaceae. RNAcentral also lists the same sequence under 2 other names.
ACUGUGUGUUGUUGGGUAGGGGAGCGUUCUGUAAGCCUGUGAAGGUGUGUCGUGAGGCAUGCUGGAGGUAUCAGAAGUGCGAAUGCUGACAUAAGUAACGAUAAAGCGGGUGAAAAGCCCGCUCGCCGGAAGACCAAGGGUUCCUGUCCAACGUUAAUCGGGGCAGGGUGAGUCGACCCCUAAGGCGAGGCCGAAAGGCGUAGUCGAUGGGAAACGGGUUAAUAUUCCCGUACUUGGUGUUACUGCGAAGGGGGGACGGAGAAGGCUAUGUUGGCCGGGCGACGGUUGUCCCGGUUUAAGCGUGUAGGUGUGUGUUCCAGGUAAAUCCGGUUCACUUUAACACUGAGGCGUGACGACGAGGCACUACGGUGCUGAAGCAACAAAUGCCCUGCUUCCAGGAAAAGCCUCUAAGCAUCAGGUAACAUCAAAUCGUACCCCAAACCGACACAGGUGGUCAGGUAGAGAAUACCAAGGCGCUUGAGAGAACUCGGGUGAAGGAACUAGGCAAAAUGGUGCCGUAACUUCGGGAGAAGGCACGCUGACACGUAGGUGAAGUGAUUUACUCAUGGAGCUGAAGUCAGUCGAAGAUACCAGCUGGCUGCAACUGUUUAUUAAAAACACAGCACUGUGCAAACACGAAAGUGGACGUAUACGGUGUGACGCCUGCCCGGUGCCGGAAGGUUAAUUGAUGGGGUCAGCGCAAGCGAAGCUCCUGAUCGAAGCCCCGGUAAACGGCGGCCGUAACUAUAACGGUCCUAAGGUAGCGAAAUUCCUUGUCGGGUAAGUUCCGACCUGCACGAAUGGCGUAAUGAUGGCCAGGCUGUCUCCACCCGAGACUCAGUGAAAUUGAACUCGCUGUGAAGAUGCAGUGUACCCGCGGCAAGACGGAAAGACCCCGUGAACCUUUACUAUAGCUUGACACUGAACAUUGAGCCUUGAUGUGUAGGAUAGGUGGGAGGCUUUGAAGCGUGGACGCCAGUCUGCGUGGAGCCGACCUUGAAAUACCACCCUUUAAUGUUUGAUGUUCUAACGUGGACCCGU